GACGAACGCUGGCGGCGUGCUUAACACAUGCAAGUCGAACGGAAAGGCCCUGCUUGCAGGGUACUCGAGUGGCGAACGGGUGAGUAACACGUGGGUGAUCUGCCCUGCACUUCGGGAUAAGCCUGGGAAACUGGGUCUAAUACCGGAUAGGAGCCAUUUUUAGUGUGAUGGUUGGAAAGUUUUUUCGGUGUAGGAUGAGCUCGCGGCCUAUCAGCUUGUUGGUGGGGUAAUGACCUUCCAAGGCGGCGACGGGUAGCCGGCCUGAGAGGGUGGACGGCCACAUUGGGACUGAGAUACGGCCCAGACUCCUACGGGAGGCAGCAGUGGGGAAUAUUGCACAAUGGGCGCAAGCCUGAUGCAGCGACGCCGCGUGGGGGAUGACGGCCUUCGGGUUGUAAACUCCUUUCGCUAGGGACGAAGCUUUUUGUGACGGUACCUAGAUAAGAAGCACCGGCUAACUACGUG
RNAcentral lists this ribosomal RNA (465 nucleotides) under uncultured bacterium. RNAcentral describes it as "partial 16S ribosomal RNA". It matches the Rfam family "Bacterial small subunit ribosomal RNA", at positions 28 to 507 of the family's 1533-position model. The record is from RNAcentral.